UGCUGUUCGUGUGAUCGAGUCCCUGGGUUGCUUCCUGGGGUCUGUGGUGCUGGGUGUGCUAUCUGCGUGUGCUUCUCUAGCGAGAGAUUGUGGGCGAGUGACCGAGUGGGCAAGGGGCCGUCACUGUGUGUGCGUGAUUGUGACGGUGUGUGGUGGUAGCUUCUGACUCCGCGUGGGUCGUUGAAUGUGUGACUGGGACCGUUUAGCGGUGGAUACACAACUGUGUGCGGCUGUGGAAGAUUGACUCAUCCGUUACGUUCCCAUUUCCGUGGAACAACAGUUUUACCAGAAGGUUUCGAAGGAACCUUAAAGUUUGGAAGCGUAACAGUUUAUCUGGUAACUAAUUUUAAACAUUACAUCUAUGGUGAGUUAAAUGUGGGUUAUGAAGGAGAACGCAAAAUAAAAACGUUAUGAAGAUGUAAAGGAGUUUUAUGGGGCGGCAUCUCUUGGGCAAAUAUCAGACCGCCAUAGGUAGUUGUUAAUUCUGUCGUUUUCAGGCGGCUUUGGAGUCAUCAAAUGUGAGAAGCCCUGGACUUUACACAUCCCGAGCCAGUGUGAUCCAGUAUGAUUGGGAGUCCGAGUGCCAGAUGCCGGUCGGGACCUGUUAUGCUGGGUCUCAGAAUGCGGAAACUCUCCCUGUCCGAGGUGGAACAGUUUGUCCUUGAGUGAGGACCGGAGUCCUGAGUGACUCUUGAUUUGAUCCUGUUUCCCUCAAACCUGAGAUGGGAGCCUCACUGUAUUGCCCAGGCUGGUCUUGAACUCCGGAGCUCAAGUGAUCGUCUUGCUUCAGCCUUCCAAAAUGAUGGUGAAGCUGCAUCAUUGUCUGGGGUAAAUACCUGAGGUUCGUUGUCUCACGCCAAGGGAAUCAAGGACGUGGACACACAAGAAAUGGGGUACCUAUCUGACCAGGCCAUGUUGUAUGUUCCUUACUGUACACGUGGUUGACAAAGAAAAGGGAAGAUGGAGCUGCGAUGUUGGACAUGCCUGGCCCCCAGGACAUACAGCCCUGCCGAGCAAACAAUGAACGUAACUCACAAACUUCCUGCUUAUCAUCAAACGCACGCAUCCACUUAUCAUCAAACACCUCGGGUGACAGAAGAAUGCAGGUCAGCUCCCUGCUGCCUUGGCAUUAUCAAUCAGCCCAGGAACCAUCCUAUAAAAUCUCCAGCAAGCCUUUGUUUCUUGCAGUCAGCUCCUCUUCCACUGAUUCUGCCUGUUGCUCCCUGAUAACCUACUUUGAUACUGUCUUUAAUAAAUCUGCUUUUCUUC
RNAcentral lists this long non-coding RNA (1269 nucleotides) under Pan troglodytes (chimpanzee). RNAcentral's name for it is "lincRNA". The record is from RNAcentral. Lineage: Eukaryota; Metazoa; Chordata; Mammalia; Primates; Hominidae.